AGCCUUAUAUUCAAAUAUGAUUUAAAAUUGCAAAUUUUAAGGUGUAAUAAUUACUAAGGCUU
This 62-nucleotide transfer RNA is filed under the name Cirrochroa tyche. RNAcentral's name for it is "tRNA-Cys". Lineage: Eukaryota; Metazoa; Arthropoda; Insecta; Lepidoptera; Nymphalidae. The record is from RNAcentral.